Molecule: non-coding RNA, 22 nt
Filed under: Arabidopsis thaliana (thale cress)
Lineage: Eukaryota; Viridiplantae; Streptophyta; Magnoliopsida; Brassicales; Brassicaceae
Source: RNAcentral
UGUAUUGUAAUGGGUCGCUGGU